AUGCUGGACGUGGACGAAGUACACACAUGUACACGCAGCUUUUUUUUGAUCCGUUGCAUAUCAAAGCUUCAUUCAGACGAUGGACUGUCUUGCUCUACUUCGAAAUCGAAACAGGUGAGUCGUGUCCUUUUUAGGAUUGAACCAACUAAAGUGAAACCAAGAUACAGUUUCUGCAGCACUUAUGAGCAAAUUGUACAGGGGAAAGACAGGCGGCUGCUGCAGAACAAGGGAAGGAGUAGCAGCUAUCUGCUGUUUCAGUUGUUUAUGUGCGCUGAAGAUUGUUUGCACCCGUACCCUGAAGAAAGAAGACACAAGAUAGAUUCUAGAUAUACCUGGGAUAUGUUCAUCCGGGUUCAGUUAAUAAGUGCAUUAGUCAACAUUGUGGUGCAAUGA
Molecule: ribosomal RNA, 393 nt
Filed under: Triticum aestivum (bread wheat)
Lineage: Eukaryota; Viridiplantae; Streptophyta; Magnoliopsida; Poales; Poaceae
Description: partial small subunit ribosomal RNA
Source: RNAcentral